This is a long non-coding RNA of Oncorhynchus mykiss (rainbow trout), 2034 nucleotides long. Lineage: Eukaryota; Metazoa; Chordata; Actinopteri; Salmoniformes; Salmonidae. The record is from Ensembl.
AUGAAGAGGCUUAAUUACAAAUUGAAGAAUCUGAGUGAAAUCUGUCUUCAGCGAAAGACAGAUUGUGUUUCUCUCUACUCUCCACUCCAGUCUCUUCUCCACUCACCACUCCAGUCUCUUCUCCACUCUCCACUCCAGUCUCUUCUCCACUCUGCACUCCAGUCUCUUCUCCACUCUCCACUCCAGUCUCUUCUCCACUCUCCACUCUCCGCUCCAGUCUCUUCUCCACUCUCCACUCCAGUAUCUUCUCCACUCUGCACUCGUCUCUUCUCCACUCUCCACUACAGUUUUUUCUCCACUCUCCACUCCAGUCUCUUCUACCCUCUCCACUCCAGUCUCUUCUCCACUAUCCACUCCAGUCUCUUCUCCACUCUCAACUCCAGUCUAUUCUCCACUCUGCACUCCAGUCUCUUCUCCACUCUCCACUCCAGUCUCUUCUCCACUCUCCACUCCAGCCUCUUCUCCACUCUCCACUCCAGUCUCUUCUCCACUCUCCACUCCAGUCUCUUCGCCACUCUCCACUCCACUCCAGUCUCUUCUCCACUCUGCACUCCAGUCUCUUCUCCACUCUCCACUCCAGUCACUUCUCCACUCUCCACUCGGCUCCAGUCUCUUCCCCACGCUCUGCUCCAGUCUCUUCUCCACUCUCCACUCCAGCCUCUUCUCCACUCUCCACUCCAGUCUCUUCUCCACUCUCCACUCCAGUCUCUUCUCCACUCCACUCCAGUCUCUUCUCCAUUCUCCACUCUAUGCUCCAGUCUCUUCUCCACUCUCCACUUCAGUAUCUUCUCCACUCUGCACUCCAGUCUCUUCUCCACUCUCCACUACAGUUUUUUCUCCACUCUCAACUCCAGUCUCUUCUCCACUCUGCACUCCAGUCUCUUCUCCACUCUUCACUCCAGUAUCUUCUCCACUCUGCACUCCAGUAUCUUCUCCACUCUGCACUCCAGUCUCUUCUCCACUCUCCACUCCACUCUCUUUUCCACUCUCCACUCCAGUCUCUUCUCCACUCUCCACUCCACUCUCUUCUCCACUCUCUACUCUCUACUCUCCGCUCCAGUCUCUUCUCCUCUCUCCACUCCAGUCUCUUCUCAACUCCCCACUCCAGUCUACUCUCCACUCUCCACUCCAGUCUCUUCUCCACUCUCCACUCCAGUCUCUUCUCCACUCUCCACCCGUCUCUUCUCCACUCUCCACUCUGUCUCUUCUCCACUCUCCACUCCAGUUUCUUCUCCCAUCUCCUCUACAGUCUCUUCUCCACUCUCCACCCCAGUCUCUUUUGCACUCCAGUCUCUUCUCCCCUCUCCACUCCAGUCUCUUCGCCACUCUCCACUCCAGUCUCUUCUCAACUCUCCACUCCAGUCUCUUCUACACUCUCCACUCCAGUCUAUUCUCCACUCUCCAGUCCAGUCUCUUCUCAACUCUGCACUCCAGUCUCUUCUCCACUCCUGUCUCUUCUCCACUCUCCACUCCAGUCUCUUCUCCACUCUCCACCCCAGUCUCUUCUCCACUCUCCACUCCGUCUCUUCUCCACUCUCCACUCCAGUCUCUUCUCCACUCUCCACUCUAGUCUCUUCUCCCCUCUCCACACCAGUCUCUUCUCCGCUCUCCACUCCAGUCUCUUCUCCCCUCUCCACUCCAGUCUCUUCUCCACUCUCCACUCCAGUCUCUUCCUCACUCUCAACUCCAGUCUUUUCUCCACUCUGCACUCCACUCUCUUCUCCACUCUCCACUCCAGUCUUUUUUCCACUCUCCACUCCAGUCUCUUCUCCGCUCUCCACUCCAGUCUCUUCUCCACACUCCACUCCAGUCUCUUCUCCACUCUGCACUCCAGUCUCUUCUCCACUCUCCAUUCUCCACUACAGUCUCUUCUCCACUCUCCACUCCCCACUCCAGUCUCUUCUGCACUCUCUACUUUCCGCGGCAGUCUUUUCUCCACUCUCCACUCUCUGCUCCAGUCUCUUUUCCACUCACUCUCUUUCUCUUUCAGUUGUAGGCGUGUCAGUACAGACUUGUUUCAGGUGUUAUUUUUGA